Molecule: ribosomal RNA, 901 nt
Filed under: uncultured bacterium
Lineage: Bacteria
Description: bacterial SSU rRNA
Rfam family: Bacterial small subunit ribosomal RNA
Source: RNAcentral
GUGUCAGCAGCCGCGGUAAGACGAACCGUACAAACGUUAUUCGGAAUCACUGGGUUUAAAGGGUGCGUAGGCGGCUUGGCAAGUUGGGUGUGAAAUCCCUCGGCUCAACCGAGGAACUGCGCUCAAAACUGCCAGGCUAGAGGGAGAUAGAGGUGAGCGGAACUUAGGGUGGAGCGGUGAAAUGCGUUGAUAUCCUAAGGAACACCAGUGGCGAAAGCGGCUCACUGGAUCUCUUCUGACGCUCGGGCACGAAAGCUAGGGUAGCGAACGGGAUUAGAUACCCCGGUAGUCCUAGCUGUAAACGAUGAGCACUGGGUUGGAGGGCCCUCCAUAGCCUUCCGGCCGUAGCGAAAGUGUUAAGUGCUCCACCUGGGGAGUAUGGUCGCAAGGCUGAAACUCAAAGGAAUUGACGGGGGCUCACACAAGCGGUGGAGGAUGUGGCUUAAUUCGAGGCUACGCGAAGAACCUUAUCCUGGUCUUGACAUGCAUGGAUUAACCCCGUGAAAGCGGGGCCACGCCCUUUGGGUGGAACUUGCACAGGUGCUGCAUGGCUGUCGUCAGCUCGUGUCGUGAGAUGUCGGGUUAAGUCCCUUAACGAGCGAAACCCUUGUCCUUAGUUGCCAGCACGUAAUGGUGGGGACUCUAGGGAGACUGCCGGUGUUAAACCGGAGGAAGGUGGGGAUGACGUCAAGUCCUCAUGGCCUUUAUGACCAGGGCUGCACACGUCCUACAAUGGCACGCACAAAGGGAAGCAAACUCGCGAGAGUGAGCAAAUCCCAAAAAUCGUGCCCCAGUUCGGAUUGCAGGCUGCAACUCGCCUGCAUGAAGCCGGAAUCGCUAGUAAUCGCGGGUCAGCAUACCGCGGUGAAUGUGUUCCUGAGCCUUGCACACACCGCCCGUC